GAAAGUUUGCGGCUCAACCGUAAAAUUGCAGUUGAUACUGGCGACCUUGAGUGCAACAGAGGUAGGCGGAAUUCGUGGUGUAGCGGUGAAAUGCUUAGAUAUCACGAAGAACUCCGAUUGCGAAGGCAGCUUACUGGAUUGUAACUGACGCUGAUGCUCGAAAGUGUGGGUAUCAAACAGGAUUAGAUACCCUGGUAGUCCACACAGUAAACGAUGAAUACUCGCUGUUGGCGAUAUACAGUCAGCGGCCAAGCGAAAGCAUUAAGUAUUCCACCUGGGGAGUACGCCGGCAACGGUGAAACUCAAAGGAAUUGACGGGGGCCCGCACAAGCGGAGGAACAUGUGGUUUAAUUCGAUGAUACGCGAGGAACCUUACCCGGGCUUAAAUUGCAACUGACGGAACCGGAAACGGUUCUUUCUUCGGACAGUUGUGAAGGUGCUGCAUGGUUGUCGUCAGCUCGUGCCGUGAGGUGUCGGCUUAAGUGCCAUAACGAGCGCAACCCUUACGGGUAGUUACCAUCAGGUUAUGCUGGGGACUCUACCCGGACUGCCGUCGUAAGAUGUGAGGAAGGUGGGGAUGACGUCAAAUCAGCACGGCCCUUACGUCCGGGGCUACACACGCGUUACAAUGGGGGGUACAGAAGGCAGCUACACGGCGACGUGGUGCUAAUCCCAAAAGCCUCUCUCAGUUCGGAUUGGAGUCUGCAACCCGACUCCAUGAAGCUGGAUUCGCUAGUAAUCGCGCAUCAGCCACGGCGCGGUGAAUACGUUCCCGGGCCUUGUACACACCGCCCGUCAAGCCAUGAAAGCCGGGGGUACCUGAAGUACGUAUCCGCGAGGAGCGUCCUAGGGUAAAACUGGUGAUUGGGGCUAA
RNAcentral lists this ribosomal RNA (874 nucleotides) under uncultured bacterium. RNAcentral's name for it is "bacterial SSU rRNA". It matches the Rfam family "Bacterial small subunit ribosomal RNA", at positions 596 to 1484 of the family's 1533-position model. The record is from RNAcentral.